This 713-nucleotide ribosomal RNA is filed under the name Metabacillus indicus. Its description in RNAcentral is "bacterial SSU rRNA". It matches the Rfam family "Bacterial small subunit ribosomal RNA", at positions 133 to 828 of the family's 1533-position model. Lineage: Bacteria; Bacillati; Bacillota; Bacilli; Caryophanales; Bacillaceae. The record is from RNAcentral.
UAAGACUGGAGAACUCCAAAAAGCCGGAGCUAAUACCGGAUACUAUGUCAAACCGCAUGGUUUGACAUUCAAAGACGGUUUCGGCUGUCACUUACAGAUGGGCCCGCGGCGCAUUAGCUAGUUGGUGAGGUAAUGGCUCACCAAGGCGACGAUGCGUAACCGACCUGAGAGGGUGAUCGGCCACACUGGGACUGAGACACGGCCCAGACUCCUACGGGAGGCAGCAGGUAGGGAAUCUUCCGCAAUGGACGAAAGUCUGACGGAGCAACGCCGCGUGAGUGAAUGAAGGUUUUCAGGAUCGUAAAACUCUGUUGUCAGAGAAGAACAAGUGCCGGAGUAACUGCCGGCACCUUGACGGUACCUGACCAGAAAGCCACGGCUAACUACGUGCCAGCAGCCGCGGUAAUACGUAGGUGGCAAGCGUUGUCCGGAAUUAUUGGGCGUAAAGCGCGCGCAGCGGUUUCUUAAGUCUGAUGUGAAAGCCCCCCGGCUCAACCGGGGAGGGUCAUUGGAAACUGGGAAACUUUGAGUGCAGAAGAGGAGAGUGGAAUUUCCACGUGUAGCGGUGAAUGCGUACAGAUGUGGAGGACCACCAGUGGCGAAGGCGACUCUCUUGUCUGUAACUGACAGCUGAGCGCGAAGCGUGGGUAGGCGACAGGAUUAGAUACCCUGGGUAGUCCCACGCCGUAACGAUGGAUUGCUAAGUGUAAGGG